GAUCAUUAGCGCGCAGGCCGGAGGCUGGCCCCCCACGAUAGGGCCAAACGUCCGUCAGGGGUGAGCAGAUGUGCGCCGGCCGUACCGCCCCAUUCUUGUCUACAUUACUCGGUUGCCUCGGCGGGCCGCGCUCUCCCAGGAGAGCCGUUCGGCGAGCCUCUCUUUAGUGGCUAAACGCUGGACCGCGCCCGCCGGAGGACAGACGCAAAAAAAUUCUUUCAGAAGAGCUGUCAGUCUGAGCGUUAGCAAGCAAAAAUCAGUUAAAACUUUCAACAACGGAUCUCUUGGUUCCGGCAUCGAUGAAGAACGCAGCGAAAUGCGAUAAGUAAUGUGAAUUGCAGAAUUCCGUGAAUCAUCGAAUCUUUGAACGCACAUUGCGCCCCCUGGCAUUCCGGGGGGCAUGCCUGUUCGAGCGUCAUUUCAGCCCCUCAAGCCCGGCUUGUGUGAUGGACGACCGUCCGGCGCCCCCGUCUUUGGGGGUGCGGGACGCGCCCGAAAAGCAGUGGCCAGGCCGCGAUUCCGGCUUCCUAGGCGAAUGGGCAACAAACCAGCGCCUCCAGGACCGGCCGCCCUGGCCUCAAAAUCUGUUUUAUACUUAUCAGGUUGACCUCGGAUCAG
RNAcentral lists this unclassified non-coding RNA (618 nucleotides) under Trichophyton interdigitale. Its description in RNAcentral is "sequence contains 18S rRNA gene, ITS1, 5.8S rRNA gene, ITS2, 28S rRNA gene". The stretch from base 265 to 418 matches the Rfam family "5.8S ribosomal RNA". The record is from RNAcentral. Lineage: Eukaryota; Fungi; Ascomycota; Eurotiomycetes; Onygenales; Arthrodermataceae.